ACCCAACCCCAACUCUAGGUCUGUCGGGAGUCUGCCUCACGUACCCCUCAUUCAUUCACUUGGCCGACAAAGUCUUCUGGAGAAUCUUCAGCCCACCUGCCUGCAUCCUGCUCCAGCAGGAAGAGGUGGGCACCCAUUAGCCACCACUCCAUCCCAUGUCUCACCAGAUAACUUGGGAGACCAGACAAGGGUCCCUGCAGGCAGAGAGUCUUAAGCAGGACCCAUAAAUUCCCUAAAACUGCAGACAAAAUUUUGAGGAUGGUUCAUAUGUGUAUGUUUGGAAGAGAUAGUCUAUAUUUUCAUCAGGUUCUCAAAAGUGUCCGUGAAGCCAUUUUGCUCCUCCCUACCACAAACACCCCUCUCUGUUUUGUCCUCUCACUGAACUCAAAUACUCUCAGAUGUUCAGCUUCUGUUACCUCAGAUUUUCAGAAAACACUUCUAACUGCAUCAUGUGUCUUAGGCGCUGUUAUCCCAUUUUACAGAUGAGGAUUUGAGGCUACGGGGUACAUGACUUGCCCAAGGUCACAGCUAAUAAGCAGAGAAGCAAGACUGGAACGUGGUUCUGACUCCCAAUGUGCCACUCCUUGGGGAACUCUCACCCAAACCCUCUAGCUACCCCACCUGUUGGUGGAUUGGCUUCCUCACCACAGAAAUCUACCUGGAGCCUUCAGGUUCUAUCUGCCUGGUUCCAUGGCCCCAAAGAGCAGGUUUCCCUACAUUACCCCGCCCCUCGGGCUCUGGCUGAGGCUGCGCGCAGGCCCGGGAGCGCGAGGUUUGGGCCGCUAGAUGGUGGCCGGGUUCAGCCCACCGAGAAGGGCUACUCCAGCGACCAGAGCACCCAAGGUCCAGGCACAUUCCGGGCGGUGCGCAGCUCCUGCCCAUUCGGAUGGCUCAUUUAUACCCUUUAGACUUGAGGCUAUGACAUGCGACCCAGCUGGCUGCACCUAGCUGAGGCUGAUAGAAGCUUGAACUUCCCCAUGGCAAACAGAGCUCCAUACUUGGGGGAUCUUCACUCCCAGCCUGACAAACAGGACAGUGAUGAAGGAUCAAGGCUGAAAGAUGAUGGAGUCCUGGCCACUGGGCAUCUGAAGACUGGCAAGCUGGCUGCAAGAGGUAGGUCUGGGUCAGAGUUGAGACUCUGCCCCUUGACCACUCUCUCUGGGCCAAGCCCCUAGGCUGCAAGGUCCCUAUAAGACACUGCCAGACCCUCUAUUCUCUAGACUUUCUCCUUGCCCUUCCUGCUUCUAAGCUUCUUGCCUGUCUCCUAGUUUCCCAUCCUGAUAGUUUUAUGCCUCGUUCUCUCUUCUCAACCUAGUUCCUUCCAUUUGACAAAUCAUCUGGGUAGCCUGCUCAAUUUUCAAAUCAAAAUACAUGAAUUUUAUCACAAAAAUAAUUUUUGCACCUUUCAGGAAAUUGUGGGAAGAAAACAAGAACAAAGGCAAAAUUGAAAAUCAUUUUCAUCAUGCUACCCAGAGACAGCCACUUUUUAACCUGAUGUGUUUUCUCCUUUCCCCCCACCUUGACCGUGUUUCAUAUAAAGUGCUUUUUUAAUGGUCUAGUACUGUAAGUAGUUUCAUGGCCUGUGAUCUGUUUUUUUCCACUUAGCUUCCUAUCAUGAACAUUUUCCCACAGCCGUAAAUAUACCUCUAUGCCACUCUUUUAAAUUACUGAAUAACAUUUCAUAUGAUUUAAUGUUUUUGCUCUCAUGUUGAAAUUCAAAGAAAUGCUCUUUGCAGUUCAGCUGUUGGACAUACACUUAAUAGCUUCUCUAGAUGUGGACGCACAGGUUAAAAUGAUGCAUGUUUUGGAAGCUUGUAAUAAGUAUUGACAAAUCUCCCUGAACAAUAUUGGCCCACUCUUCACUCUCCAGAAGCAUAUGACAUACUUCCUCAUUCUCUCAAAUGAGCUAUUCUCUUUGUGAUUUUUUUUUUUUUUUUUUUUUUUGGUGUUUGUUUUCACAGUCCCAUGACUGCAUAGCUCCCACUCCCCACCACCACUGGGCACCCACUUCACAUGUCAGACGUGUAAGCAUCGGCAAUCCACCCUCAAAACCUUUGUUUAUAUAUAUGUGUGUGUAUCCCCAAACAAUAUACAAUAUUGCUUUGAGAGGCCAUUUAUAAAAUCUCAUGUAAAGGCUACUGUGCUACGUAUUACAUUCCACUGCCCCUUUUUGUUCAAUCAAUACGAGUGUUUUGUUCUUGUUUUUGUUUUUUACUGAGAUCUGUGCUAACUUAGGUAACUCAAAGUCAUUUCUUUUAACAACUGUUUAAUUGUUGUCUUUAUUUUUGAGAUUCACCUGCAGACUGAUGGAGCUUGUUGCCAUCAUGUUGCUGUUAUAAACAAUGCUGUGAUGAACAUCUCCAUACCUGUCUCUCUAUCUCUGCUAGAGUUUCUAAGCACAAGUGGGAUUGUUGGGUCCCAAAGACACAGGGCUAGCUGUGUCUUUCCAACUCUUUUGACUAUGACACAUUGUAAGAAAUACAUUUUUUACAUCAGAAUCUGGUAAGGGUCUCUCCAUGAACACAAUUGAAACAAAAGUUUAGUGAAAUAGUGCUUAUCUUUAUCAUAAGAAAAACAUUAUUGUGUGUUUUAUUCUACUUAACUCAAUUUCCUUUUUUAAACAUUGAUCACAACUUACUAAUCUAAUUUUGUAACCUGUUAAUGGCCCAUGACUCACAGUUUGAAAAAUAAUGGAGUAAAAUGUAUUCAGUUUCAUGAAAUACUUGGAAAUGACACUUUAGAGUGGCUAUGCUAAUUUACAAUGCUUUAGGUUCUCGUCGCCCUCCAUCCUGGCCAGCACUUGAUUUUUUUUUUUUUUUUUGCCAGUCUGAUGAAUCUAAAGUAGAAUGUCACUGUUUUUAUUUUUCUUUCUCUGAUUUCUAGUAAGUUGUUUUUCUUCAUAUGUUUAUUCACUACUUGUGUUCCUCAGAAAGUGAGUUUGCCUGUAAGAAAACUUGAGUUCCUCAGAAAGUGAGUUUGCUACUAAGUUUCCCUUAUAAUUGAGAUUUUAAUUUUUUUAUCAUCUGUUGUUGUACAUAUGCUGCAAGUGCCUUUUCCCAGACUGUUAAUCAUUCAUUAACUUCAUGAUGUUAUUUAUUGAACAGAAAUCCAUCAGUUAUUUCCUUUAUGGUUUUGCAUCUUAUUUAAGAAAUGCUUUCCUAACUCAAUACCAUAAAGACUUGCCUUUCAAUUUUUUAUAGCUUCUUAAGCUAUCUGAAAUUUGUCUUUACAUAGUAUGAGAUAUGAUGUUAUUUUUUUUCCCAUACAGUGGAGUCACUUUCCUAACACCAUGAAAAUAAUCCAUCCUUUCCCCACUGAUCUAUGUUGCCCCCUCUAUCACAUACCAAAUAUCAACAUGCAUGGGUCUCUUUCUGGAUUCUUCUCUUCUGUUCCAUUGGUCUGUACUGCUUACACUACAAAAAAUUAGACUUUAUACUGUAUCUUAAUAUCUAGUAGGGUAAGAUCCCCAUCUUUGCUCUUUUUUUGAGACUACUUUGUCUUAGCUACUCAUGGAAACUUAUUCUUCCAUGCAAAUUUUAGAAUUGGUUUAUCCAAUUUCUCUCUCCAAAUAUUUCUUAGAAUUAUAUGUGUUGACACCAUGACAGUGCUAUGCCUUUCUUUUCACAAACAUAUCUCUAUUUAUCCAAGAAAUAAACCUCUCCUUUAGUGAGCUUUCUCUGACAUGCCUGGCUAAGUUAAUUUCUAGAUAAUUCAUUUCCUCUCCUCUCGCUCUCUUUUUUAACAUUCUCCAUUUUAAUAGAUGGGAAUAGUAUCUUCUUUCAGGACAGCCAAGUUUUUUAGACACUUCCCUUCGUGACCCUGUAUCCUGGAUUACCUCUUUGGCAAGGAAUGACCCCAAAGAUGCCCCCUACCAGGAUCUGGUAGAACCAGGAAAGCAAUCAUCAGAUGGUCAGUUGACAAGAGUUCAAAUCUGCCAAAAGUGCUGUGCAUCUCUGAGGCUUUGAAACAACCUUGCCUACAAAAUGAGACGGAAAGAAUUGUACUGACCUGGAUUCCUUUCAAGGAUACCAGUAUGCUCAUUUGAAAGAGAUACUUAAACUGCUUGGGUAUUGGGGGAGGGAAAAGGUGAUUUGCACUGUUAAACUGCCUUCUAAGGAAGAUGGGUCUGCUCAACUACAGGCCACUAAUCUCAUCAAGCCAGUCAUGCAAGUUUGGGGCAGAGCUGAAUUGCUUGUUGCCACAAGGAUUCUUCCUUCCCAGCUCUUUUCUUUUCUUUUCUUUUUUAAGAUUUUAUUUUUAUUUAUUUAUUUGUCAGAGAGAGAGGUAGAGUGAGCGCAAGCACAAGCAGACAGAGUGGCAGGCAGAGGCAGAAGGAGAAGCAGGCUCCCUGCAGAGCAAGGAGCCCGAUGUGGGACUCGAUCCCAGAACGCUGGGAUCAUGACCUGAGCCGAAGGCAGGUGCUUAACCAACUGGGCCACCCAGGCGUCCCCCCAGCUCUUUUCUUAUGCUUCAACCAGCCUCCCUUCUAAGCAAAUGUUGAGCAAACAUGCAUUUAAAGGGAAAAAGAGACACUGGAUUAUUAGCUUCUCUGGGCACUAUCCAUCUCAGGCUGGCAAGUUAUGGGAUAGUGAGAGAGAAAUGGGUCCUGGCAAGAAUGAAGCAGAAGCCCAAACCUAAAGGGACCAGGACAUCAGGUAGACAACCAAGGUAGGAACUUGGGAAUGAGGAGCAGGGCCAAAGACCCAGCACAGUAACUGCAGCCCACACAAGGAAGAAUAGGACUUCUUAAACCAGGUAACAGUCCAAUUAUUGAAACAUCAGCACAUAUCCCAAGAAAAAAAAAAGCCAAAGACCUGAGCAGGCAAAUCGCCAAAUGAAGAAAAACAAAGGGCCAAUAUAAGAAAAGAAAAUGGUCAAUCUCACUAGAAAACAAAACAACAAUAAGGGAUUUCCCACACACACACACACCCCUAUCUGAUUGGCGAGGUUUCUUUUUUGCUUUCUCCUUCCCUUUGUUUUUGCUUGCUCACUCCCUCUCUUCUUUAUGGUGAUACUGAUUGUUGAGAGACUGUGGUGGAAGGGUGCCGUCCUGCAGAGCUGGUGGUUCUGUGAAUUGGCACAGCUUCUCUGGAGGGCAAUUUGGCAGACUGUGUGAAAAACCCUAAAGACAAGCACUCUUUGAUCCAGCAAUUCUACUUCUAGGAAUUUCUCCUAAGGAAAUAAUUGGAAGUGAACACAAAGAUGAAUAAUAGCAGCUUAACAUUUACGGGAUGUUCACUCGGUGCCAGGCAAUAUGUUAAGGUCUUUACAUUUACCUCAAUUAGACCUUGCAGUUGCAUCCAAUGAGAUGGCUAUUGCCAUGUCCAUGUCCAUUUUCAGGUGGGGAAACUGAGGCUCAACAAGGGCUUAUAAAUUGCACAAAUUCGAGCCUGCCAAGCAAGUGAUAAGCUGGGGCUCAAUCCCCAAUCUCUUUAAUUCUGAAACCCAUGCUCUUAGCCACCACACUAUCCUGCCCUCCAGAAAGCUGUAUAAAAAUGGUGUGCCACAAUCAAAACCACAAUGAGAUAUCACCUCACACCAGUCAGAAUGGCUAAAAUAAACAAGUCAGGAAAUGACNNNNNNNN
Molecule: long non-coding RNA, 5585 nt
Organism: Mustela putorius furo (domestic ferret)
Lineage: Eukaryota; Metazoa; Chordata; Mammalia; Carnivora; Mustelidae
Source: Ensembl